AUCAUAUACAUUUGUAGACAUUACUUUAUGUUAUGCAUUUCAGUAUGCGACAUAUUGUCUUUGUGGAAAUAACUUAGAAAACAAAAAGUAUCCAAGGGUACAGGAAUCAGAUUGUAACAUGCCUUGUGCUGGUGAACCAAAUCGAAUGUGUGGAGGUGGCUAUAGAAACUCGAUUUAUUUAGGUAACUAAAUCAAAUGAAUAGUUUGCAUAUCAAUUAUAAUGAAAUUUUGUAGAUUUAUAUAAUCAAAAUAAGGAAUUAGAAAUAACACUUUAGAAAUGGCAUGAUUUUCAAUGAGAAAAAAUAUCCAUCGGAGACAAAAUUAUGUGGAUGAAAGCGACAAAAGAUAAUUGUACGGCUUUUAAUUAUGAACAAAACCAAUAUCGUAUGUAAAUCUAUUGUGUUUACCUGUUAAAUUCCAGAUAUAAUAAAUACAUUUUUAAAUGUAUUUGCAUUGAUAAAAUCAUUUAGAUAAUUCAGUUCGGAACUUGUAUUACAUUAUAGGUAAUGACUGUUUAGGCGUUCUGAUUGCUUCGAAAACCAGUACGUUGACUCAAAACUUAUUAAAUGGAAACAAAAAUCGAUUUUUUUUGGUUAAUUAAUUUAAAUUCUAAUACAUAUAUAUUUGUUUUUCAGUUAAACCCUAAGCAAAAAAAGAAAUGAAGAAAAUACACAGAGAUCAGUAUCAAAAUAAAGCGAUAAUACUUUAAUGUUGUUGUUUGUUGAUAUUAUUGCAUGCUUUUAAUAUACAAGG
This 753-nucleotide long non-coding RNA is filed under the name Mytilus galloprovincialis (Mediterranean mussel). The record is from RNAcentral. Lineage: Eukaryota; Metazoa; Mollusca; Bivalvia; Mytilida; Mytilidae.